Non-coding RNA from Leuconostoc mesenteroides subsp. mesenteroides ATCC 8293, 117 nucleotides. Lineage: Bacteria; Bacillati; Bacillota; Bacilli; Lactobacillales; Lactobacillaceae. The record is from Rfam.
UGUCGUGUCGAUAGCAUAGAGGACACACCUGUUCCCAUACCGAACACAGAAGUUAAGCUCUAUAGCGCCGAAAGUAGUUGGAGGAUCGCUUCCUGCGAGGAUAGGACGAUGCGGUGC